RNAcentral lists this ribosomal RNA (447 nucleotides) under uncultured bacterium. RNAcentral's name for it is "bacterial SSU rRNA". It matches the Rfam family "Bacterial small subunit ribosomal RNA", at positions 355 to 825 of the family's 1533-position model. The record is from RNAcentral.
UGGGGAAUCUUGCGCAAUGGGCGAAAGCCUGACGCAGCCAUGCCGCGUGAAUGAUGAGGGUCUUAGGAUUGUAAAAUUCUUUCACCGGGGACGAUAAUGACGGUACCCGGAGAAGAAGCCCCGGCUAACUUCGUGCCAGCAGCCGCGGUAAUACGAAGGGGGCUAGCGUUGCUCGGAAUUACUGGGCGUAAAGGGCGCGUAGGCGGACAUUUAAGUCAGGGGUGAAAUCCCAGAGCUCAACUCUGGAACUGCCUUUGAUACUGGGUGUCUUGAGUGUGAGAGAGGUAUGUGGAACUCCGAGUGUAGAGGUGAAAUUCGUAGAUAUUCGGAAGAACACCAGUGGCGAAGGCGACAUACUGGCUCAUUACUGACGCUGAGGCGCGAAAGCGUGGGGAGCAAACAGGAUUAGAUACCCGCGUAGUCCCUGAGCGGGCUGGCAAGGCGCAU